RNAcentral lists this ribosomal RNA (769 nucleotides) under Pseudomonas aeruginosa. RNAcentral's name for it is "bacterial SSU rRNA". It matches the Rfam family "Bacterial small subunit ribosomal RNA", at positions 1 to 765 of the family's 1533-position model. Lineage: Bacteria; Pseudomonadati; Pseudomonadota; Gammaproteobacteria; Pseudomonadales; Pseudomonadaceae. The record is from RNAcentral. RNAcentral also lists the same sequence under 1 other name.
GAACUGAAGAGUUUGAUCAUGGCUCAGAUUGAACGCUGGCGGCAGGCCUAACACAUGCAAGUCGAGCGGAUGAAGGGAGCUUGCUCCUGGAUUCAGCGGCGGACGGGUGAGUAAUGCCUAGGAAUCUGCCUGGUAGUGGGGGAUAACGUCCGGAAACGGGCGCUAAUACCGCAUACGUCCUGAGGGAGAAAGUGGGGGAUCUUCGGACCUCACGCUAUCAGAUGAGCCUAGGUCGGAUUAGCUAGUUGGUGGGGUAAAGGCCUACCAAGGCGACGAUCCGUAACUGGUCUGAGAGGAUGAUCAGUCACACUGGAACUGAGACACGGUCCAGACUCCUACGGGAGGCAGCAGUGGGGAAUAUUGGACAAUGGGCGAAAGCCUGAUCCAGCCAUGCCGCGUGUGUGAAGAAGGUCUUCGGAUUGUAAAGCACUUUAAGUUGGGAGGAAGGGCAGUAAGUUAAUACCUUGCUGUUUUGACGUUACCAACAGAAUAAGCACCGGCUAACUUCGUGCCAGCAGCCGCGGUAAUACGAAGGGUGCAAGCGUUAAUCGGAAUUACUGGGCGUAAAGCGCGCGUAGGUGGUUCAGCAAGUUGGAUGUGAAAUCCCCGGGCUCAACCUGGGAACUGCAUCCAAAACUACUGAGCUAGAGUACGGUAGAGGGUGGUGGAAUUUCCUGUGUAGCGGUGAAAUGCGUAGAUAUAGGAAGGAACACCAGUGGCGAAGGCGACCACCUGGACUGAUACUGACACUGAGGUGCGAAAGCGUGGG